CAUCCCACUAUAUUGUUCGCCAGAGUACUACAAGCGCUAGCUUAAAACCCAAAGGACUUGGCGGUAUCCCACACCCACCUAGAGGAGCCUGUUCUAUAACCGAUAAUCCCCGUUCAACCUCACCACUUCUUGCCAUUACCGUCUAUAUACCGCCGUCGUCAGCCCACCCUGUGAAGGAUUAAAAGUAAGCAAAAAGAAUAAAACUCCAAAACGUCAGGUCGAGGUGUAGCAAAUGAAGUGGGAAGAAAUGGGCUACAUUUUUUCCCAAAAACAUACGAAUGGUAAACUGAAAACACACCUAAAGGUGGAUUUAGCAGUAAGAGAAGAUCAGAAUACUUCUCUGAAAUCGGCUCUGGGAUAAGCACACACCGCCGUCACUCUCCUCAAAAACAAUUCACUCCCUUCUAUAAAUCCAUUUCCCCAAUAAGAGGAGGCAAGUCGUAACAUGGUAAGUGUACUGGAAAGUGCACUUGGAAUC
This 478-nucleotide ribosomal RNA is filed under the name Carcharhinus perezii (Caribbean reef shark). Its description in RNAcentral is "partial 12S ribosomal RNA". It matches the Rfam family "Bacterial small subunit ribosomal RNA", at positions 853 to 1522 of the family's 1533-position model. The record is from RNAcentral. Lineage: Eukaryota; Metazoa; Chordata; Chondrichthyes; Carcharhiniformes; Carcharhinidae.